This is a long non-coding RNA of Saccostrea cuccullata (small rock oyster), 1200 nucleotides long. RefSeq lists it as uncharacterized. The transcript has 4 exons. The record is from RefSeq and is a predicted model, not a curated record. NCBI's taxonomy places the organism in Eukaryota, Metazoa, Mollusca, Bivalvia, Ostreida, Ostreidae.
AUAGGUUGGACUUACUUUUUGAUCGUACUGUGUACGUUUCUGUACACUGUCUAGGCAGCGAUCUACCUAUGCAUUGUGACGUCAUAAGCUUGCCAGGGACGUCAUGUUAGCCCUUCACAAGCCGCGAUGGCUGCUUAUUUUGACACAACAAUACAGACUUUCACAGCGCUGGAGACUUCAUGUAAACAACUAUUUCAGUACCAAAACUUCUGAACAGGUGAAUCCUGGAUCAGCCUAGAAGAUAUUUCACUGGAUUAUUUAUAGUAUGAAUAAUUCUAUACUGAGUAACCGGGUUACCUGGAUCAGCUGAGAUGUUGUUUUUCCUGGAUUAUUUAAUGGAUAUAGGCUUAUUGGGCAUAUAAUUGGAUAUCUGUCCUCAACAUGGAAGAUAUGGUUUAUUCCUACCCAUCUAUAAUCAAUUCUCUAUGAAGUUCAGCCUGUCUACUCUUCCUUGGGAAAUACACAGUCAGUCAACCAACAUAGAUACAAACUUGAAGGAUUCUCUUGUUAGGGCUUAUGGAAAUGAUCUAUGUCUACUCUUAGAUUGGUGAAAGACUAUCAGAUUAUGUAAAGACUAACAGAACAUCCUCUCUUUGAACACUGAAACAAGAAAACCAAACUUAAGAGGAUGGAGGAUUUAAGAAGAACAUAGAUAAAUAUGAUUUCCAACGAAUUUAACCAGUACGAUCAUAGACUGUGGUUUACAGGAUGGCAAAGAAAGUACCCAGGAUUGUAUCUUUCACUGUCAGACACUGUCUAUGGAUAAAGUGUAAUCAUUUAUCAAACUGAGAUCUAGUCAAAUCAAGUAUUGAAAAUAUGAUUUUCUGAUAGCAUGAGCUCUUUAUAAACUAAUUCUCACAGACCUCAAAGUAUCUGAAUGUGACUUUUAUUUUUACCAAUUCAUAUUGAAGACUGUUGUUAUGUAUGGGAAUUACACAUUAAAAACUUUUAUUUUUCAUAUAAUUUUUACAACCCCCUAGAAAUUACACAGAUAUCCAUAUGCUGGAUUUAAUGUUAUUAUUUAACUUUCCUGGAAUUGUAAAUAUAUUUUGUUUGUGUAUGUAUCAUGUUUAAUUUUGAAUUUAAAAUUGGUCUCAAUAAGACCCCCAAUAAAGAUGCAAGUGUCCCACAAUCUGUGGUUUAAUAAUAUCUUGAAUAUCUUUAUCAUACCAUAUUCCUCAUACUAAUUACAUAUAGAAU